GGCCUUGACAUACUAAGAACUUUCCAGAGAUGGAUUGGUGCCUUCGGGAACUUAGAUACAGGUGCUGCAUGGCUGUCGUCAGCUCGUGUCGUGAGAUGUUGGGUUAAGUCCGCAACGAGCGCAACCCUUUUCCUUAUUUGCCAGCGGGUCAUGCCGGGAACUUUAAGGAUACUGCCAGUGACAAACUGGAGGAAGGCGGGGACGACGUCAAGUCAUCAUGGCCCUUACGGCCAGGGCUACACACGUGCUACAAUGGUCGGUACAAAGGGUUGCUACCUCGCGAGAGGAUGCUAAUCUCAAAAAGCCGAUCGUAGUCCGGAUCGCAGUCUGCAACUCGACUGCGUGAAGUCGGAAUCGCUAGUAAUCGCGGAUCAGAAUGCCGCGGUGAAUACGUUCCCGGGCCUUGUACACACCGCCCGUCACACCACGGGAGUUUGUUGCACCAGAAGUAGGUAGUCUAACCGCAAGGAGGACGCUUACCACGGUGUGGCCGAUGACUGGGGUGAAGUCGUAACAAGGUAGGCGUAGAUGA
RNAcentral lists this ribosomal RNA (532 nucleotides) under uncultured bacterium. Its description in RNAcentral is "bacterial SSU rRNA". It matches the Rfam family "Bacterial small subunit ribosomal RNA", at positions 977 to 1509 of the family's 1533-position model. The record is from RNAcentral.